GGAGAGGUACCGAAGUGGCCGUAACGGGGUCGACUCGAAAUCGACUUAGGGGCUAAUCACCCCUACGUGGGUUCGAAUCCCACCCUCUCCGCCA
Molecule: transfer RNA, 94 nt
Filed under: Pseudomonadota bacterium
Lineage: Bacteria; Pseudomonadati; Pseudomonadota
Also listed under: 3 other names
Description: Proteobacteria bacterium (sediment metagenome) tRNA-Ser
Rfam family: tRNA
About the family: Transfer RNA (tRNA) molecules are approximately 80 nucleotides in length.
Source: RNAcentral